Molecule: long non-coding RNA, 1052 nt
Organism: Ooceraea biroi (clonal raider ant)
Lineage: Eukaryota; Metazoa; Arthropoda; Insecta; Hymenoptera; Formicidae
Source: RefSeq, a predicted model, not a curated record
CACUUCGAACAAUUUUUACAUUAAUUAGAUAGAGUGGAUUAGGCCUAUUGGGGAAACCACUUAAAAAAAAACGCGCCAUGCUAUCUACCGCCAGGUGGUGUGGAACAGAUAGCACCAAAAUACUGAGUAAUAAUAUGGUCAAUAACAUUAAUUAAUAUUAUUAACCAUAUUAAUUAAUAAUAUUAAUAAAGUAAUAUAAUUAAUAAUAAUAUUAAUAAAGUAACAAAACUUGUACAUCGAAAAGAAUUGCGUGACAACUUUCUCGGCGCGUGAAUGAGACGCCGAGAAUUAUUGUGUACGCGUCGUCUCGCCUGCCGCUGUAAUCCGAUACUCGCUCCGACCAUCGCGUCGCGCGCGCGGCUAGCUGUUACGUUAUCCACGCCUACUUCUCUCGCUGCCAAUCGCGUCCGCUGAAUUAGCGAAACUUCUCUACUUAAUAACUCGAAAUAUACACGGUUAAUUGCAAAAUGUUAUAAGACUUUUUUGUUCACCUUAACGAGAUCUACCUGCAGCAGAGCGAUUGGGCACUUUAUGUGGGACACCCUGUGUAAUGUUUCAACGGUGAAUGUGUACUGUUAUUGCUUCAUGCUUUAUUUUAUACAAAUUUUCAUUAAAACUGAUGUUAAAUUUUUUUUUAAUAUCAUUAAUGUCAUUACAAAAUAAUUUUUGCUUUUAGAUUUUGAAACGUUGGAUAUUUUUUAUGUCACAAUCCGCAUUACAAGAUGAACUGUGGAAAUAGAAAGUAUGCGGUUGUAAAAUUUUUGUGCGAUUCUUCAUACUCUGAAAUUCCAACAGCAUGGCUCUUUCAAGAAAAAAAAUGUGCAACUAUGUUGGUGGCCACCUCGAACUGCAAACAGUGGAAUAUUAAUAGCAAACUGUCAAAUUCCUGAUUCCUCUACAUGGAGUAAUUAUGAAGUCGAAAUCGUAAAAUAUUGUUCAUCUGUUGAGUCAGCUCGAAAGACUGCAGCAGACUCUAAUUAUGAAACAACUGAUGAAGAACGACUGGGUCGAGGAAGAAGGCAACAUGUUUCAUACAAUCGUUUCAGAAGCGA